This 5017-nucleotide long non-coding RNA is filed under the name Sus scrofa (pig). Its description in RNAcentral is "lncRNA (ENSSSCG00040028180.1)". The record is from RNAcentral. Lineage: Eukaryota; Metazoa; Chordata; Mammalia; Artiodactyla; Suidae.
CACUUUUAAAUAAAUGUUACCAAAAUGUAGUUGGCUAUACUCUUUUGGCUCUGGUGCAGGUUCAAAGUUAAAAGACUGAGAGCUAAGCCCCAAAGAAGAACAGCAUUUCGGGUACUACUGGAAGGAAUGCCCACAACAUUUCUGAUAAACAAAUUGUCUGGGUAUGUUAGAACCUAAAGUGUGUGUUGUAAUCUUGAAAUGGGAUUUGAUGUGUUUAUCUCAGGGUAAUCAUGAGAUGAGUACUAAGGUACAUGAGAAAGUGUCUCCACCAUCAUGACAUCCUCUCUUUAGAAAACUGUCACACAUGAUUUCUCUAUUGUCCCUGUUGAGUGGACAGUCUCCUUUACCCCUUUCCUCGAAUCUAAUCAAUCAGAAAAGCUGAAGCCAUGGGACUCACGCUAACCAAAUACUGGUCCUCUCCAUAGAAUCUAGAAAUAAAAACUUUAAUCCACCUUAAAUUGUGAGCAUGUAUAAGACUAUAGACAUAGUUCCCACCACAGUAGAGAUAUCAGACUGCCAGCAGAUGCCUAAGAGAAGCAGAGAUAAUAAGAUGUGCCCCAAAGUGACCCCAAUUUAUUUCCUGAUUCCGGGCUUUAAAGGAGAUCCGUCUGCACCGAAUACCCUGAGGUUCUCUGAGGCACCGCGUCCCCCUGCUAACACAUAUCUUGAAAGGAUAGUGAUCUAAAUGUAGAAAAAUUAAUUUUUGCAACGAUGUCAGGUGAUUUUAUUCUCCUCUAUAAUUUUCUGUAGUGUUGGCUUUUCCCCAAGCAUCUUUUUUUAAAAUACAAAUGAGGAAAAAUCAAAUAGCUGCAUUUAAAAUUCAUCAGAAUAGAAAUUUUUAAAAAGGAAAGAGCAAAAGCAAGAAAAUGUUCCGUGAAACAUCAAAGGACUGAUUUUUCAAAUAAAGGAUGGUUUGAUCCCUAUAGGAAGGAAAUUGUCAUUACUAUCAGCUUUCAAGAGCAGGUACAAGCAAUGAUAGAAUAUCGUCAAAGGUUUACUUGAAUUUAUAUUAGCCAGGAACAUUUUUUUCCAACUAUGUAACUUAUUAGAUAAACUUAUAUGAAACCACAUCAGGAAGACUUGCAAGAGUAGAGAAUAUUUUACUUAAAUGCUAAGGGUAUAACGUUUAAAUGUGUAUCCUGUCCUUUAAGCCGUUCAGAGGCAAGGGGGAAAAAGAAAUCAAUAAACACCAGUCCUUCAUCUCUGCUCAAUUUAGCUCCUUUGGUGAGCAAAGAAUUCCUUACGGCAAACAUCCAAAGCAUCCAAAUUUCAGGCAGCUUGACAGGGCUUUCAACCAGGUCAGUCCUAACAGAGAUAGGAAUCAAGUCUCCCACGAUGACUUUCAUUCACCAAGUGUGACUGAUUACUGAGCAGGUCGAAUUGCUGCACACUACUGACUGGAGAUCAAUUUUCAGCUUGAGGGACUAUGGAGAACAGUACACAGUGAGACAAGAGGAGGUCCAGGAUAAUUCAAUAAUGUAACAAACCAAACCAAAUCAGAGCCUCUUAGUAUAAAGAGAGGCCAGUCAUAUCAUAUAACAUUCCUACCAUUCUGAUCAGGAAAAUAUUCUGCUUUAGAAAAAAAAAUAAUAAUAAAAUAUGCAAAUAAAGUGUCAUCUAAAUCUCAUAGAGUCACAUUUAAUAUACCUCCAAAAAGUUAACCUGAACUUAAAACACCCUGCAAAUCUGGCUAUUUUCUUUUGUAACAGAUGGUAUUCUCUUUGUCAUAUUCUUUUACAUGUUGUGUAUACAGGCCUCUGUAAAAGCUGUUUAGAGAUAUGCUAUCUUUCUUUCUUUCCCUUUCAUUGCAAGGAAGAGACUCUUUAAUACAAAAUGAAACUGCUGCCAUCGGCCUUACAAGUUUUGCCUCUGCUUUAUAUCCAAUCAUUGGGAAAGUGUCACUGGAUCCAAUUAUCCCAGGAAUGAAUGUCACAAUGUUUCUGCUUUCUGUAUCAUCCAUAAUGCUAAAAGCUUUCUAUGCUACCCCAGCCUGUGCAGCCUAGAAUUGAAAAUUAUUAGGUUGAAUUCCCUCUCCCUGUAAAUAGGGAGAUACUAUGUCCCAGUUUGUUAGGCACAGUUCCUAUGUAAGCCAGCUUCCUAGAGGAAGUACUGGUAGCCCCUUUUCUCUGUUCCAGUUUGGACUAUAAAUUAAUACCUCUUCUUGUGAAAAAUAGAUGCAAAUCUUGCUCAUGAAAAAGCAACAAAUCAAGAACCAAACAGCCUCCUGUAACUCCUGCACCAUAUCAUAGAUCAUCAUACUUCUUCUUACGGCCAAUUUCUUGAAAUCAUUUUUGAUAGUCGUAAUGGCAGCUUCCAAUUCAUUUUCCAUUCGGACCUCAGCAUUUUAGAGUUCAAGUUCUAUCUACUUAAAACUACUGAACAUACUCAUAGAUUAAUAAAUUGCCUUUUCUCAGUCAAUAUGCCAACAACAAUAUGAAACAGUAGAUAUCUGAUCUUGUCAUCGUUCUUAAAAUUGUUUCACAAUCUCUUUGCUCUUCACAUUCUCCUUGUCUUUCUCUGUUUCUCUCUCUCAUUAUUUGUAUGAUUUCUCCAGACUUUUCAUCUCUUUUUCUAUAUAUGUUUUAUCUGUAUUCUUUAGUGGUCCACUCUAACCCAGGAAUCACAGCUUCCACCUCUAUGAUCAUGACACCAAAGUCUGUCCUAUGGACUGCUUCCUCUCCCAAUCCCCACACUUUCAAUUUUAAUCUGACCUGAAGAUCCUUCUUCAUGACAUAUAGAGGUGUGAUGAACUUAAUAAGUCCAAACUAGUUUCCAUCACUCGUAAACGUAUAAUCUCACUCCAAAUCCAAGUCCUUUAUUCAUCUAAUUUGGAGAGCAUCUAACAGUGUAAUGGUGCUUUAGCCCUAGAGAAUAAUAGUCCAUAACCUCAAUAAAGUGAAUGAAAGAGAAAGUGCUGUUAACAUAGGGAAAGCCCAACUUUUAAAAUUAGGAAAGUUAUGAAAUUAGUCUGGUUCAUCUACCAAAGUUAAAAAAAAAAAACUUUAGUCCAAUCCAUUUCCUUUCCUUACUUUUAUAUGUUAUAUCACUAUGAGAUAUAUGUGUACACACACACAUAUUGUUUAAUUUAGGUAUAUUCUCAGCUUCCAUUUCCUUCUUUUAUUUCUUCUGAAUCUUCUUAUAUCAAGGUUUCUUGAAGCAAGUGUUAAACAUUAACCAAGCAAAGUUUAGGAUGUUUCUUACUUGAUCCCUGCUAACCAGAAAAGAAACAUUCUAUAAUCAUUCUUUGAUGAUAAAAACAAAAAAAAAAGUUGUAUUUGUUUAUUCUUUAAAGAGGUACAAGGUUCUAUCACUAUAAAAUACCAUCCAAAAACAGUAUAUAAUACAGCAAAUAUCUGACAAAUUAGUGUUAUAAUACGUAUGGAUAUCUCUAAAUUAAGUAUUUUAAAAAGAUGCAAUAGCAAGCAUUUUAAUGAUAAAGCAUCUACUUGUACCUAAGGAGAAAAAGAACACAAGCUAGGAACACACUUGAUAGGAAAUACUCGUGUACUUGGCUUCAACCAGCAAAAUGAAGGGGAAAAAAAGCAAAAUUCAGUGUAACAGCUGGUUUCUGAAGCCUUGGAUGUCCUUAGAUUAGAAAUAUGGACAAAGGGUAAAAGGGAGGAAGCUCUAAGAACACUCCUAGCGCAUGGCAUACCAUAAACCAACCCGUUGGGUGCACUCACUUUGUGCCAUAGUGGCUUCGUCUCAGAGUCAUAGCAAGGAGUUAAUGAAGUCAAAAUGAAGCAUAGCAUCCCUGUCCAGGCUGAAGUAAAAUGUGUAAUUUAGUUCACUGAACACCACUAUUUUCAAUAUUAAGCCAUAGUGUAUUAGAUAGGAGCGCUAUAUAACAAUUCACAUAACUGUAUUUCAAGUAAAUAUUUUUAAAACUAUCUAAAUAUAUAUUUAUACUGUGGACCAUAAUCACUCUAUUUUAGCAUCUAUGAUAGCUGAAAAACUAAACAUUAGGGGGUACAUUUUCAGCACAGCAUGAGCAGAUUUAGCCUAGAGAUUCCCAUUAACGUUAGUGAGAGUUGCAUGGUUCAAUCUCAACACAUACUGCUUUGACAAUUUACCCCAAAGCAUCUGAGUAAAAGCUCCCCCAAAGAAAGAAAAUUUAAAAUUUUCUAACACAAAUCUAUCUUUUUUUGGUAUAAUUACCCAUUCACCAUUCUCCAACUCAGAAUAUACAUUUCCCCCCAACAACUGCUGUUCUAUCUUCAAAGGAAAAAAUGAAGUAAUUUAGUGGCAAAUUUUAAUAAUGGCUCUGUACUCCAUUAAUAUUAACCUCAUAGAGAAACUCUUCUAAAUAUUUUAAUUAGAAAUUUCACUAAAAAAUUCACUGAUAGCUUAGCAGUCUUGUGCUUAGCAAAAUACACUACUUUAUACAACUUCCUGUUGACAAUGGAUAAUUUUCAAUACAAAAAAGAGUAUUAAACAUGUUUUUGUGCCUUAUUUCUUCAAAUUUCUGUUUUAAAUAUUUUCCAAAGUUUUAGAUCAUAUAAAUUUAAAUUCAUGUUUGAAUUUAGAGCUUACAGUAUAAAAUAUGAAAAUAGUUUGGAAAAAAAUACCAUUCUCAAACAAAACCCAUUUUCAGAUAAUUCUUGGCUAAAUAUAUUCUAAUAUCAAACUCAUUUUUUUUCUAGUAAGAUUUUUGAACUGGAAUAACUAUCUAUCUGGAGAUCAGUAACACUGGGAAAUAUUUAUAAUUAAAUUCUUCUAAAGAAAAUCUAAUAAAAAUUCAUGAAUUCUGCCACAUUCAACAAAUAAUUGUAGCUACUAUUAGAAGUAAAGUUAGUUGGCUAUCUAAAUUUUUCUUAGUUUCUAUCUUUUACAAUGAUUUUAAAAUUAUAAAAGAGUUAUGAUUAUAAAUAAUUUCUCUGGUGAAAAUAUAUAAUAAAACAUAGCAAAUGACUAGGUAUGUCCUAAUGUGUCUAAUUUAAAUUUCAUUUAAAUGAAAUGACUAUAUCUCUAAAUAUUUCACUCCUGAUGAAAGAGACCAGUAAAUUCAUCCUCUUAU